This 497-nucleotide ribosomal RNA is filed under the name uncultured bacterium. RNAcentral's name for it is "partial 16S ribosomal RNA". It matches the Rfam family "Bacterial small subunit ribosomal RNA", at positions 28 to 507 of the family's 1533-position model. The record is from RNAcentral.
GACGAACGCUGGCGGCGUGCCUAAUACAUGCAAGUAGAACGCUGAAGAGAGGAGCUUGCUCUUCUUGGAUGAGUUGCGAACGGGUGAGUAACGCGUAGGUAACCUGCCUUGUAGCGGGGGAUAACUAUUGGAAACGAUAGCUAAUACCGCAUAACAAUGGAUGACCCAUGUCAUUUAUUUGAAAGGGGCAAUUGCUCCACUACAAGAUGGACCUGCGUUGUAUUAGCUAGUAGGUGAGGUAAUGGCUCACCUAGGCGACGAUACAUAGCCGACCUGAGAGGGUGAUCGGCCACACUGGGACUGAGACACGGCCCAGACUCCUACGGGAGGCAGCAGUAGGGAAUCUUCGGCAAUGGGGGCAACCCUGACCGAGCAACGCCGCGGGAGUGAAGAAGGUUUUCGGAUCGUAAAGCUCUGCUGUAAGUCAAGAGCGGGUGUGAGAGUGGAAAGUUCACACUGUGACGGUAGCUUACCAGAAAGGGACGGCUAACUACGUG